This is a long non-coding RNA of Anguilla rostrata (American eel), 1114 nucleotides long. RefSeq lists it as uncharacterized. The transcript has 3 exons. Lineage: Eukaryota; Metazoa; Chordata; Actinopteri; Anguilliformes; Anguillidae. The record is from RefSeq and is a predicted model, not a curated record.
GUUUUAACCAGCAACUGAAAUCAGAAGACAAAUUGGGAUCCCGAUGACAGUGUCCCCAUACUGUUUCCUGUGAACAGCUCUGAAGCCAGUUUACCUAUAACCUUCAGCACCGAGGUACACCCUACCGGUUCCCCCGUCUGCAGGAGGAUGGCGAAGGUGGAGAGUACACACAGGUAACCAGCCCAGCCUGGAACGUCUCCUGGUCAGGACAAGAAAAGGACACAGCACAGCAGUGUAUCAGAGCACAGUGUGUGGGAGAGAGAAAGAGGAAAAUUUUGGUUAAUUCAUAGCUAAUUUACAUUAGUGUUUUAGUGAUGUUACACAAACAUAUACUUCCCGGUUUUAUAUAUUGGUUGCACAGUUCAUUUACAUUUGUUCUUCAGUAAUGUUACAUAGGCUGAUCUAAGAAUGAGGUAAGCCAGGUCUGGCACUUAUAUUGUAUCAUGAGUUUCUCUGGGUAAGAGCAUCCACUAAAUUAAUGUAAUACAGUGAAACCUGUCAAAGGCAGCCACCCAGAGGAGUAAUGAGAGGAGUAAUGAGAACUGGCUGUCAUGUGCAGGUGUAUGAAGGUGACCCCUAUGGCAGGUUUCUCUGUAUUCGUGUAUGACCAAAACCCAUUUCCCCAGCAAAUUUUAGAGCACUUUUCCCACCAUAAACUUUUCUAAUCACCUUUUCUGCAGUCUUCUCAGUGCCACUGGCUCACGAGCAGCCAUUUUAAAACGGACACUAGUUAACUUUCACAGAGUAAGAAUAUGACCACAAUGACAGCAGCAUACUCUUAAAUACCAAUCUACCAUGGUUACUUUUAAAAAAAUCACAUAAGCAGAAAAAGAUACUGAAGUUCACUAAAUUAAGCCAGCAUGUGGAGAAUCUUCAGUCUGCUAAUUGUAUGUGUGUGUGUGUGGGGAGUGAGUUAGUAAGUUCCAAUCUUGGUCCAUGAGGUGCUUUGCAACUAAAAAAAAACCUGAACAUAAGAAGAUAAGGAUAACGCAAAUCAUUGAAAGAAGUUUUCGAGAAAGUGCCAACCCCCUCAAGAAAAAAACAAAAACAAAUUGAGGCGUUUCUUGGAAACACCAAAAGGCUAAAGCCGCCAUCUCAUAAGAUGAAAUGUGAC